UGUGAGGAGAAAAACAAAGCAUUCCCUCUUCUUUUACUUCUCCAUCGACAUUGUGCUCCUCUUCCCUCUCUGUCGAACCUUGCCUCCUCAACUUCGACUUGUUCUCCUUCUCACCGUCGGUCUGCUCCCCACCUCAUUGAUCGAUGCCCUCUUUCCUUCAUCAGAGUCGACCACAUGCUGGUUUUAAGCUGUCACCACUGCACUGAAGGUUGAGCCCUUAGUCCACCAUGAUACACC
Prosopis cineraria is the source of this 237-nucleotide long non-coding RNA. RefSeq lists it as uncharacterized. The record is from RefSeq and is a predicted model, not a curated record. NCBI's taxonomy places the organism in Eukaryota, Viridiplantae, Streptophyta, Magnoliopsida, Fabales, Fabaceae. The transcript has 3 exons.